ACUUCAAGAGGUGCAUCAAAAGCAAUUCAAUUGAAAAUUAAAGAAGAAAACAAAGCGGGCAUCUUUCUUUUGGUACAGCAAGAUAAACGGCGAUACAAUCAGGAAAUUUAAAAGGGAUCUGCAUCUGACUCGCUCGUAAGCGAUUUAAUUAAAAGGGAGACGUGCAACAUUUACCAGCAUCCAGCACAGCUACCAGGGCAGAUUCAAACACAUUAACACACACACACGUACACGCAGCGGACGUAUUUGUUAAGUAUCGUAGUUAGAAAAAUGAGUAAAAGAAAGUUGUCUAAUUUAUUGGGAAAAGAAAAAAAAAAAUUAUGAGGAAAAUGUAGCGAAAUUUCCCAAAUUAAAUGAAAAUGUUAACGUAGAAGCAAAUGAAAACUUUCCCAACAGAUUAGACGACGAUGAUUUUCCAUCAACAAGUAGAGUAGCUUUGCAAAAUUUAGAAUAUGAUAUAGAUAGCGGAGAUGACAGUGUAUUUUUUGAAGGUUUAGAUGUAGAAGAUGUUGAGGUAGAUAGUUAU
Anastrepha obliqua is the source of this 526-nucleotide long non-coding RNA. RefSeq lists it as uncharacterized. Lineage: Eukaryota; Metazoa; Arthropoda; Insecta; Diptera; Tephritidae. The record is from RefSeq and is a predicted model, not a curated record. The transcript has 4 exons.